Molecule: long non-coding RNA, 552 nt
Organism: Pezoporus occidentalis (night parrot)
Lineage: Eukaryota; Metazoa; Chordata; Aves; Psittaciformes; Psittacidae
Exons: 2
Source: RefSeq, a predicted model, not a curated record
GGGAGGCGAGCUCACGGGUUUAAUGUUCUCAGGGCUGGGUUCGGCUCCGACAUGUGAUCCUGGUGACAGGAAGGACGCGGCAAACACGUCGUCCCUCGGGGCUGACUCGACCUUGUGGGAAGAGGCUCGGUUCCCUGGGCCUGAUGGACGCGGCUCUCCAGGCUUGGCUCUUAGGGCACAGUUCUCCAUGCAGGGCUCGCUGGAGGUGGUUCUCCAGACUUGAGUCCCCAGGUACCACUUGCUGGAUGUGUCUCCCUGCCUCGGCGGUGGCUCCAUGGCCAGCCCAGUGCCAGCAGAGGGCCUCCGUUACCAAACAGAGCACAGCGCCGCCGCUUCGGAACCAGAAACCACCUUAUCCAUUUGGCAAAACUUCGUGCAAGGACCAGGAAAGGGGCUGGAGUUUAUUCUCCUGAAGACCAGGGCCAGUGUCCGCCCCCCCCCGCCCCCCCUUGUUUUAAUGCCAGCACUGGAGGUGCAUUAAAGCCGUGGGAGAGGCCAUCAUUAAAAUGGCAAUUGCGCAGCCAGGCAAUAAACUGAGCAUCAUAAAAGGCA